GAUGAACGCUGGCGGCGUGCCUAAUACAUGCAAGUCGAGCGAACAGAUGAGGAGCUUGCUCCUCUGACGUUAGCGGCGGACGGGUGAGUAACACGUGGAUAACCUACCUAUAUGACUGAGAUAACUUCGGAAAACCGGAGCUAAUACCGGAUAAUAUAUUGAACCGCAGGGUUCAAUAGUAAAAGACGGUUUUGCUGUCACUUAUAGAUGGAUCCGCGCCGCAUUAGCUAGUUGGUAAGGUAACGGCUUACCAAGGCAACGAUGCGUAGCCGACCUGAGAGGGUGAUCGGCCACACUGGAACUGAGACACGGUCCAGACUCCUACGGGAGGCAGCAGUAGGGAAUCUUCCGCAAUGGGCGAAAGCCUGACGGAGCAACGCCGCGUGAGUGAUGAAGGUCUUCGGAUCGUAAAACUCUGUUAUUAGGGAAGAACAAAUGUGUAAGUAACUAUGCACGUCUUGACGGUACCUAAUCAGAAAGCCACGGCUAACUACGUG
Molecule: ribosomal RNA, 497 nt
Filed under: uncultured bacterium
Lineage: Bacteria
Description: partial 16S ribosomal RNA
Rfam family: Bacterial small subunit ribosomal RNA
Source: RNAcentral